GACGGCCUUCGGGUUGUAAACCUCUUUCAGCAGGGAAGAAGCGCAAGUGACGGUACCUGCAGAAGAAGCACCGGCUAACUACGUGCCAGCAGCCGCGGUAAUACGUAGGGUGCGAGCGUUGUCCGGAAUUAUUGGGCGUAAAGAGCUUGUAGGCGGUUUGUCGCGUCUGCCGUGAAAAUUCGAGGCUCAACCUCGAACUUGCGGUGGGUACGGGCAGACUAGAGUGUGGUAGGGGAGACUGGAAUUCCUGGUGUAGCGGUGAAAUGCGCAGAUAUCAGGAGGAACACCGAUGGCGAAGGCAGGUCUCUGGGCCACUACUGACGCUGAGAAGCGAAAGCAUGGGGAGCGAACAGGAUUAGAUACCCUGGUAGUCCAUGCCGUAAACGUUGGGAACUAGGUGUGGGUCUCAUUCCACGAGAUCCGUGCCGCAGCUAACGCAUUAAGUUCCCCGCCUGGGGAGUACGGCCGCAAGGCUAAAACUCAAAGGAAUUGACGGGGGCCCGCACAAGCGGCGGAGCAUGCGGA
RNAcentral lists this ribosomal RNA (525 nucleotides) under Salmonella enterica. RNAcentral describes it as "bacterial SSU rRNA". It matches the Rfam family "Bacterial small subunit ribosomal RNA", at positions 410 to 945 of the family's 1533-position model. The record is from RNAcentral. Lineage: Bacteria; Pseudomonadati; Pseudomonadota; Gammaproteobacteria; Enterobacterales; Enterobacteriaceae.